UACGUAGGGGGCUAGCGUUGUCCGGAUUUAUUGGGCGUAAAGAGCGUGUAGGCGGCCAGGUAGGUCUGCUGUGAAAACUCGAGGCUCAACCUCGAGACGUCGGCGGAAACCAUCUGGCUAGAGUCCGGAAGAGGAGAGUGGAAUUCCUGGUGUAGCGGUGAAAUGCGCAGAUAUCAGGAAGAACACCCGUGGCGAAGGCGGCUCUCUGGGACGGUACUGACGCUGAGGCGCGAAAGCCAGGGGAGCAAACGGG
Molecule: ribosomal RNA, 253 nt
Filed under: uncultured bacterium
Lineage: Bacteria
Description: partial 16S ribosomal RNA
Rfam family: Bacterial small subunit ribosomal RNA
Source: RNAcentral